Molecule: ribosomal RNA, 460 nt
Filed under: uncultured bacterium
Lineage: Bacteria
Description: partial 16S ribosomal RNA
Rfam family: Bacterial small subunit ribosomal RNA
Source: RNAcentral
CCUACGGGCGGUUGCAGUGAGGAAUAUUGGUCAAUGGACGAGAGUCUGAACCAGCCAAGUAGCGUGAAGGAUGACUGCCCUAUGGGUUGUAAACUUCUUUUAUAUGGGAAUAAAAUGUUCCACGUGUGGGAUUUUGUAUGUACCAUAUGAAUAAGGAUCGGCUAACUCCGUGCCAGCAGCCGCGGUAAUACGGAGGAUCCGAGCGUUAUCCGGAUUUAUUGGGUUUAAAGGGAGCGUAGGUGGAUUGUUAAGUCAGUUGUGAAAGUUUGCGGCUCAACCGUAAAAUUGCAGUUGAAACUGGCAGUCUUGAGUACAGUAGAGGUGGGCAGAAUUCGUGGUGUAGCGGUGAAAUGCUUAGAUAUCACGAAGAACUCCGAUUGCGAAGGCAGUUCACUGGACUGCAACUGACACUGAGGCUCGAAAGUGUGGGUAUCAAACAGGAUUAGAUACCCUAGUAGUC